GACGAACGCUGGCGGCGUGCUUAACACAUGCAAGUCGAACGGAAAGGCCCUGCUUUUGUGGGGUGCUCGAGUGGCGAACGGGUGAGUAACACGUGAGUAACCUGCCCUUGACUUUGGGAUAACUUCAGGAAACUGGGGCUAAUACCGGAUAGGAGCUCCUGCUGCAUGGUGGGGGUUGGAAAGUUUCGGCGGCUGGGGAUGGACUCGCGGCUUAUCAGCUUGUUGGUGGGGUAGUGGCUUACCAAGGCUUUGACGGGUAGCCGGCCUGAGAGGGUGACCGGCCACAUUGGGACUGAGAUACGGCCCAGACUCCUACGGGAGGCAGCAGUGGGGAAUAUUGCACAAUGGGCGGAAGCCUGAUGCAGCAACGCCGCGUGCGGGAUGACGGCCUUCGGGUUGUAAACCGCUUUCGCCUGUGACGAAGCGUGAGUGACGGUAAUGGGUAAAGAAGCACCGGCUAACUACGUGCCAGCAGCCGCGGUGAUACGUAGGGUGCGAGCGUUGUCCGGAUUUAUUGGGCGUAAAGGGCUCGUAGGUGGUUGAUCGCGUCGGAAGUGUAAUCUUGGGGCUUAACCCUGAGCGUGCUUUCGAUACGGGUUGACUUGAGGAAGGUAGGGGAGAAUGGAAUUCCUGGUGGAGCGGUGGAAUGCGCAGAUAUCAGGAGGAACACCAGUGGCGAAGGCGGUUCUCUGGGCCUUUCCUGACGCUGAGGAGCGAAAGCGUGGGGAGCGAACAGGCUUAGAUACCCUGGUAGUCCACGCUGUAAACGGUGGGUACUAGGUGUGGGGUCCAUUCCACGGGUUCCGUGCCGUAGCUAACGCUUUAAGUACCCCGCCUGGGGAGUACGGCCGCAAGGCUAAAACUCAAAGGAAUUGACGGGGCCCCGCACAAGCGGCGGAGCAUGCGGAUUAAUUCGAUGCAACGCGUAGAACCUUACCUGGGUUUGACAUGGAUCGGGAGUGCUCAGAGAUGGGUGUGCCUCUUUUGGGGUCGGUUCACAGGUGGUGCAUGGCUGUCGUCAGCUCGUGUCGUGAGAUGUUGGGUUAAGUCCCGCAACGAGCGCAACCCUUGUUCACUGUUGCCAGCACGUUAUGGUGGGGACUCAGUGGAGACCGCCGGGGUCAACUCGGAGGAAGGUGGGGAUGACGUCAAGUCAUCAUGCCCCUUAUGUCCAGGGCUUCACGCAUGCUACAAUGGCUGGUACAGAGAGUGGCGAGCCUGUGAGGGUGAGCGAAUCUCGGAAAGCCGGUCUCGGUUCGGAUUGGGGUCUGCAACUCGACCUCAUGAAGUCGGAGUCGCUAGUAAUCGCAGAUCAGCAACGCUGCGGUGAAUACGUUCCCGGGGCU
RNAcentral lists this ribosomal RNA (1346 nucleotides) under uncultured bacterium. RNAcentral describes it as "partial 16S ribosomal RNA". It matches the Rfam family "Bacterial small subunit ribosomal RNA", at positions 28 to 1381 of the family's 1533-position model. The record is from RNAcentral.